RNAcentral lists this ribosomal RNA (253 nucleotides) under uncultured bacterium. RNAcentral's name for it is "partial 16S ribosomal RNA". It matches the Rfam family "Bacterial small subunit ribosomal RNA", at positions 524 to 776 of the family's 1533-position model. The record is from RNAcentral.
GACGUAGGGCGCGAGCGUUGUCCGGAUUUAUUGGGCGUAAAGAGCUCGUAGGCGGCUCGUUGCGUCGGCUGUGAAAACCCGCAGCUCAACUGUGGGCUUGCAGCCGAUACGGGCGGGCUGGAGUUCGGUAGGGGAGACUGGAAUUCCUGGUGUAGCGGUGAAAUGCGCAGAUAUCAGGAGGAACACCGGUGGCGAAGGCGGGUCUCUGGGCAGUAACUGACGCUGAGGAGCGAAAGCGUGGGGAGCGAACAGG